Humulus lupulus (European hop) is the source of this 337-nucleotide long non-coding RNA. RefSeq lists it as uncharacterized. The transcript is spliced from 3 exons. The record is from RefSeq and is a predicted model, not a curated record. NCBI's taxonomy places the organism in Eukaryota, Viridiplantae, Streptophyta, Magnoliopsida, Rosales, Cannabaceae.
UCUGAAUGAUUUGGAUAGUGCUCUCAAUGCUAUUCCUGACUUGUGCUCGAAGGAGAGCUGGAAAGAAAUCGUCGAUUUGUUUCUGAGCCCAAAGUUUAUAGCGCGAUCCACGCAGAACAAGAAAAAUAGAAAGGAAAUGAAGUAUUUGUCGACGCAAGGCUCUAAAUCAAUGGCAGCGAUCCGUAACGAAUAUGAUGAACCUGAUGAGCAUGCUAUUGAUGCUUGGAAAGAUACUCAUAUAAAAAAAUCUACGAAGACUUGGGUUAGCGAAACUUGCAAAGAACUACAUGAACAAAUGACCCAAGAGAUGGAGAGGCAAAAUAUUCAAAGUAGUCGG